CAGCAGCCGCGGUAAUACCGAGGGUGCGAGCGUUAAUCGGAUUUACUGGGCGUAAAGCGUGCGUAGGCGGCUUCUUAAGUCGGAUGUGAAAUCCCUGAGCUUAACUUAGGAAUUGCAUUCGAUACUGGGAAGCUAGAGUAUGGGAGAGGAUGGUAGAAUUCCAGGUGUAGCGGUGAAAUGCGUAGAGAUCUGGAGGAAUACCGAUGGCGAAGGCAGCCAUCUGGCCUAAUACUGACGCUGAGGUACGAAAGCAUGGGGAGCAAACAGGAUUAGAUACCCCCGUAGUCCCUGUCUCUUAUCC
Molecule: ribosomal RNA, 301 nt
Filed under: uncultured bacterium
Lineage: Bacteria
Description: partial 16S ribosomal RNA
Rfam family: Bacterial small subunit ribosomal RNA
Source: RNAcentral